AACGCUAGCUACAGGCUUAACACAUGCAAGUCGAGGGGAAACGACAUCGAAAGCUUGCUUUUGAUGGGCGUCGACCGGCGCACGGGUGAGUAACGCGUAUCCAACCUGCCCACCACUUGGGGAUAACCUUGCGAAAGUAAGACUAAUACCCAAUGAUAUCCCACGAAGGCAUCCGAAUGGGAUUAAAGAUUUAUCGGUGAUGGAUGGGGAUGCGUCUGAUUAGCUUGUUGGCGGGGUAACGGCCCACCAAGGCGACGAUCAGUAGGGGUUCUGAGAGGAAGGUCCCCCACAUUGGAACUGAGACACGGUCCAAACUCCUACGGGAGGCAGCAGUGAGGAAUAUUGGUCAAUGGGCGAGAGCCUGAACCAGCCAAGUAGCGUGCAGGAAGACGGCCCUAUGGGUUGUAAACUGCUUUUAUAGGGGAAUAAAGUGAGCCACGUGUGGUUUUUUGCAUGUACCCUAUGAAUAAGGACCGGCUAAUUCCGUGCCAGCAGCCGCGGUAAUACGGAAGGUCCGGGCGUUAUCCGGAUUUAUUGGGUUUAAAGGGAGCGUAGGCCGGAGAUUAAGCGUGUUGUGAAAUGUAGACGCUCAACGUCUGCACUGCAGCGCGAACUGGUUUCCUUGAGUACGCAUAAAGUGGGCGGAAUUCGUGGUGUAGCGGUGAAAUGCUUAGAUAUCACGAAGAACUCCGAUUG
This 696-nucleotide ribosomal RNA is filed under the name uncultured bacterium. RNAcentral's name for it is "bacterial SSU rRNA". It matches the Rfam family "Bacterial small subunit ribosomal RNA", at positions 32 to 715 of the family's 1533-position model. The record is from RNAcentral.